Transfer RNA from Trichosporon asahii var. asahii CBS 8904, 109 nucleotides. It matches the Rfam family "tRNA". Rfam says of the family: Transfer RNA (tRNA) molecules are approximately 80 nucleotides in length. The record is from Rfam. NCBI's taxonomy places the organism in Eukaryota, Fungi, Basidiomycota, Tremellomycetes, Trichosporonales, Trichosporonaceae.
GGUCGCGUGGCCCAAUGGCAAGGCGUCUGACUACGACUUCUCACCUCCGCAGCACAUCGCGGGGCUUGGAGUAAUCAGGAGAUUGCGGGUUCGAUCCCCGUCGUGACCU